RNAcentral lists this long non-coding RNA (656 nucleotides) under Homo sapiens (human). Its description in RNAcentral is "HSALNT0376594". The record is from RNAcentral. Lineage: Eukaryota; Metazoa; Chordata; Mammalia; Primates; Hominidae.
GCCACCCCCUGCUCCACGGCGCCCAGUCCCAUCGACCACCCAAGGGCUGAGGAGUGCGGGCACACGGCACCGGGACUGGCAGGCACGUCCGCCUGCAGCCCCGUGCGGGAUCCACUGGGUGAAGCCUGCUGGGCUCCUGAGUCUGGUGGGGACGUGGAGAACCUUUAUGUUAACCUUUAUGUUAACAUGAACCUUUAUGACACUGACCUUGCCAACUGUGUGGGACCUGGUUGAGGCCUCUUGCCACCAGCUAUCUCCAACUUUCCUGGCCAACUAUAUAAUACAGUAGAGGCAACGAAAAUCCCCUCUAGAACAUAACCUCAUUGUCCUGAGAACCACCACCAUCCACCACAAUGGCUGCAGCAAGCCCCGCCCAAGAUAUUUUCUAAAGAUGGAAAGACACAUUCUGCCAUAUAGCUACUAUUUGCUUCCACAUCUGUUAUCUGCUCGUCUCCCCUCAACUCCGUAUCUCAAGAGACUGACCUGCUUGGAUUGCGUCAAGGGCUCUGGCUUAGGACAGACCUCAGCUAACUAUGGGACUUGGCAGGAGAUCCAGCAGCAGGAGGAAAGUGAGUUCUCAGAUCUUCAGAGACAGACUGGAACUACACCACCAGCUUUCCAGGGUCUUCAGCUUGCUGGCAGAUUGAGGAACUUUU